UUCCCAAGGAAGUUCUUCUGUUAAUAAAAGUCUAAGAAGAUGCUAUUUUUUCCCUUGAACUUCUCUAAGAAGUCAUUCUGCAGAAUAAAGUAUAGACUGAACAAGUGGUUUGAGGUUUAGAAGCCUGAUUAUUACUUUCAAUAUCAGAACAUUAGAAACCUAAAGAAGAGAAAAUAAAUGGAGAUGCAAGGUUAUUGGGAAGAUCA
Molecule: long non-coding RNA, 206 nt
Filed under: Monodelphis domestica (gray short-tailed opossum)
Lineage: Eukaryota; Metazoa; Chordata; Mammalia; Didelphimorphia; Didelphidae
Description: lncRNA (ENSMODG00000039724.1)
Source: RNAcentral